This is a long non-coding RNA of Homo sapiens (human), 1262 nucleotides long. NCBI's taxonomy places the organism in Eukaryota, Metazoa, Chordata, Mammalia, Primates, Hominidae. The record is from Ensembl.
GGGGCGCCAGGAGCACCGUCCACCCAGAGGGCCAGGCCGGGAGGCUGAACUGGAGACCAGAGACAGACGCGAGAUGGAGAGACCCACGGACAGUCGCCGACACCGGGCAGAGGAAGAAAUACAUACAGAAGCAGAGACAGGCUGGCACAGGAGAGGCUCUGGGGAGAAAUUUCCCAAGAGAGGAAGAGGAGCUGGGAGGAGAAACAGACAGGAAACCUGGGAGCCUCGCGGGGCUGGGCUGGGCUGUCAGAGCCUGCGCGAUCCGUCCUCCCUUCCCCUCCUAUACGGCUUGGGCGACCUUGCUCCCGAGGGCGCAUCCCGCAUCUCCCUGACUCUGCCCCCAACUCUCUGUUGCUCCUCUCUAUGCGUUGUCCCUCUGUCUCCUUAUUUCUCCCCGUAGGCCUCCUCUGGUUCGUCCUGACCCGGAUAAGGAGGCCUAGCAUGCGCGUGGGGGCUGGAGGCCUGGGAAAGGAAAGGAAGGUGUCAGCAGGAGGUUUCCCUUGUUUCCAUGAUCUCCUCCCCUCCCACCUCUACAAAGCAGCAUGAGUUUGGGCCACUAUGGCAAGAACUAGCUAGCAGUCAGGCUGUUGGGUAAUGGAAGAGGGCAGGUGAGAGAGGCUGAAGCCAAAACAGAUGUGGAAAUCAAGACUAACUGACUCAGAGAAAGGCACAAAGAGUAGCAACGCUAAGACUUGAUAAAGUAACCCACACAGCCUUCCUGCCCCACAGACAUACGUCCCACCUUUCCUCAGAGGACCGUGACAUCCCUCCAAACAGCAAAACUGCCCCUUCUCCCUCCCCACCCUUCAUAAAGCCCCUGGGAAUGUCAGUGAGGAGGAAGAAUAAACUACUACAGACAGGAUUGCUUGGUACCUUGGUAUUGCCUGGUAGGAUUCUUCUCUAUGUGGGGCUGGGACAAAAGACAUUCUCAAAAUUCUCCAGGAAAGUGGGUGGCCUGGGAGACACUGGCAUUCUCAGAUAGUUUUAUCUGACUGAACACUUCUACCCACAUCUUGGACUCUGGACUAGAGGAAAGGAGGGGGAAGGGGUUUGCCACUUUAGGCCAGCCUUAACUGGACUGUGAUCAGGGAGGGGAGUAUCAACAACUAGGCUAAGCCCCACAGCGAGUACACAAGAGACCUAAACAUACACACACAUGUGCACACGCACAUACAGAGAAAGAGAGAGACAGAGAGACAGAUUUAAGGCCAGGUGAACCAGUAAGAUGAACAGUAACUCAGUAAAGUCAGAUCUAAAAAAAA